RNAcentral lists this ribosomal RNA (273 nucleotides) under uncultured Actinomycetales bacterium. Its description in RNAcentral is "partial 16S ribosomal RNA". It matches the Rfam family "Bacterial small subunit ribosomal RNA", at positions 530 to 802 of the family's 1533-position model. Lineage: Bacteria; Bacillati; Actinomycetota; Actinomycetes; Actinomycetales. The record is from RNAcentral.
GGGCGCAAGCGUUAUCCGGAAUUAUUGGGCGUAAAGAGCUCGUAGGCGGCUUGUCGCGUCUGCCGUGAAAGUCCGGGGCUUAACCCCGGAUCUGCGGUGGGUACGGGCAGACUAGAGUGCAGUAGGGGAGACUGGAAUUCCUGGUGUAGCGGUGAAAUGCGCAGAUAUCAGGAGGAACACCGAUGGCGAAGGCAGGUCUCUGGGCUGUAACUGACGCUGAGGAGCGAAAGCAUGGGGAGCGAACAGGAUUAGAUACCCUGGUAGUCAAGGGCG